This 254-nucleotide ribosomal RNA is filed under the name uncultured bacterium. RNAcentral describes it as "partial 16S ribosomal RNA". It matches the Rfam family "Bacterial small subunit ribosomal RNA", at positions 524 to 776 of the family's 1533-position model. The record is from RNAcentral.
UACGGAGGGGGCUAGCGUUGUUCGGAAUUACUGGGCGUAAAGGGCGCGCAGGCGGCUGCUCAAGUCAGGCGUGAAAGGCCUGGGCUCAACCCGGGAAUUGCGCUUGAGACUGGGCUGGCUUGAGUGCGGGAGAGGAUGGUGGAAUUCCCAGUGUAGAGGUGAAAUUCGUAGAUAUUCGGAAGAACACCAGUGGCGAAGGCGACUUACUGGACGACUGUUGACGCUGAGGUGCGAAAGCGUGGGGAGCAAACAGG